This 456-nucleotide ribosomal RNA is filed under the name uncultured Cellulomonas sp. RNAcentral describes it as "bacterial SSU rRNA". It matches the Rfam family "Bacterial small subunit ribosomal RNA", at positions 925 to 1382 of the family's 1533-position model. The record is from RNAcentral. Lineage: Bacteria; Bacillati; Actinomycetota; Actinomycetes; Micrococcales; Cellulomonadaceae.
ACAAGCGGCGGAGCAUGCGGAUUAAUUCGAUGCAACGCGAAGAACCUUACCAAGGCUUGACAUACACCGGUAACGCCCAGAGAUGGGUGCCCCUUUGUGGUCGGUGGACAGGUGGUGCAUGGUUGUCGUCAGCUCGUGUCGUGAGAUGUUGGGUUAAGUCCCGCAACGAGCGCAACCCUCGUCCUAUGUUGCCAGCGGGUCAUGCCGGGGACUCAUGGGAGGCUGCCGGGGUCAACUCGGAGGAAGUGGGGAUGACGUCAAAUCAUCAUGCCCCUUAUGUCUUGGGCUUCACGCAUGCUACAAUGGCCGGUACAAAGGGCUGCGAUACCGCGAGGUGGAGCGAAUCCCAGAAAGCCGGUCUCAGUUCGGAUUGGGGUCUGCAACUCGACCCCAUGAAGUCGGAGUCGCUAGUAAUCGCAGAUCAGCAACGCUGCGGUGAAUACGUUCCCGGGUCUU